This 243-nucleotide ribosomal RNA is filed under the name uncultured Actinomycetales bacterium. RNAcentral's name for it is "partial 16S ribosomal RNA". It matches the Rfam family "Bacterial small subunit ribosomal RNA", at positions 88 to 334 of the family's 1533-position model. Lineage: Bacteria; Bacillati; Actinomycetota; Actinomycetes; Actinomycetales. The record is from RNAcentral.
UACUCGAGUGGCGAACGGGCGAGUAACACGUGGGUGAUCUGCCCUGCACUUCGGGAUAAGCUUGGGAAACUGGGUCUAAUACCGGAUAGGAACCAUCUUUAGUGUGGUGGUUGGAAAGUUUUUUCGGUGUAGGAUGAGCUCGCGGCCUAUCAGCUUGUUGGUGGGGUAAUGGCCUACCAAGGCGGCGACGGGUAGCCGGCCUGAGAGGGUGUACGGCCACAUUGGGACUGAGAUACGGCCCAG